GCCUGAUCCAGCCAUGCCGCGUGCAGGAUGACGGUCCUAUGGAUUGUAAACUGCUUUUAUACGAGAAGAAACACUGCUUCGUGAAGCAGCUUGACGGUAUCGUAAGAAUAAGGAUCGGCUAACUCCGUGCCAGCAGCCGCGGUAAUACGGAGGAUCCAAGCGUUAUCCGGAAUCAUUGGGUUUAAAGGGUCCGUAGGCGGUUUAAUAAGUCAGUGGUGAAAGCCCAUCGCUCAACGGUGGAACGGCCAUUGAUACUGUUAAACUUGAAUUAUUAGGAAGUAACUAGAAUAUGUAGUGUAGCGGUGAAAUGCUUAGAGAUUACAUGGAAUACCAAUUGCGAAGGCAGGUUACUACUAAUGGAUUGACGCUGAUGGACGAAAGCGUGGGUAGCGAACAGGAUUAGAUACCCUGGUAGUCCACGCCGUAGACGAUGGAUACUAGCUGUUGGAAGCAAUUUCAGUGGCUAAGCGAAAGUGAUAAGUAUCCCACCUGGGGAGUACGUUCGCAAGAAUGAAACUCAGAGGAAUUGACGGGGGCCCGCACAAGCGGUGGAGCAUGUGGUUUAAUUCGAUGAUACGCGAGGAACCUUACCAAGGCUUAAAUGUAGAUUGACCGAUUUGGAAACAGAUCUGUCGC
This 636-nucleotide ribosomal RNA is filed under the name Flavobacterium sp. So1Pw_1181. Its description in RNAcentral is "bacterial SSU rRNA". It matches the Rfam family "Bacterial small subunit ribosomal RNA", at positions 381 to 1018 of the family's 1533-position model. The record is from RNAcentral. Lineage: Bacteria; Pseudomonadati; Bacteroidota; Flavobacteriia; Flavobacteriales; Flavobacteriaceae.